Molecule: ribosomal RNA, 521 nt
Filed under: Lactiplantibacillus plantarum
Lineage: Bacteria; Bacillati; Bacillota; Bacilli; Lactobacillales; Lactobacillaceae
Description: bacterial SSU rRNA
Rfam family: Bacterial small subunit ribosomal RNA
Source: RNAcentral
ACGCUGGCGGCGUGCCUAAUACAUGCAAGUCGAACGAGUUCUCGUUGAUGAUCGGUGCUUGCACCGAGAUUCAACAUGGAACGAGUGGCGGACGGGUGAGUAACACGUGGGUAACCUGCCCUUAAGUGGGGGAUAACAUUUGGAAACAGAUGCUAAUACCGCAUAGAUCCAAGAACCGCAUGGUUCUUGGCUGAAAGAUGGCGUAAGCUAUCGCUUUUGGAUGGACCCGCGGCGUAUUAGCUAGUUGGUGAGGUAAUGGCUCACCAAGGCGAUGAUACGUAGCCGAACUGAGAGGUUGAUCGGCCACAUUGGGACUGAGACACGGCCCAAACUCCUACGGGAGGCAGCAGUAGGGAAUUUUCCACAAUGGACGCAAGUCUGAUGGAGCAACGCCGCGUGAGUGAAGAAGGCUUUCGGGUCGUAAAACUCUGUUGUUGGAGAAGAAUGGUCGGCAGAGUCGCUGUUGUCGGCGUGACGGUAUCCAACCAGAAAGCCACGGCUAACUACGUGCCAGCAGCCGC